Molecule: microRNA, 24 nt
Filed under: Limulus polyphemus (Atlantic horseshoe crab)
Lineage: Eukaryota; Metazoa; Arthropoda; Merostomata; Xiphosura; Limulidae
Description: Lpo-Iab-4-P5-as_5p (mature (co-guide))
Source: RNAcentral
UACGUAUACUGAAGGUGUACCGGA